Molecule: ribosomal RNA, 443 nt
Filed under: uncultured bacterium
Lineage: Bacteria
Description: bacterial SSU rRNA
Rfam family: Bacterial small subunit ribosomal RNA
Source: RNAcentral
AACGAACGCUGGCGGCAUGCCUAACACAUGCAAGUCGAACGAACCAAGGCUUCGGCCUGAAGUUUAGUGGCGCACGGGUGCGUAACGCGUGGGAAUCUGCCCUUGGGUUCGGAAUAACUCAGAGAAAUUUGAGCUAAUACCGGAUGAUGACGAAAGUCCAAAGAUUUAUCGCCCGGGGAUGAGCCCGCGUAAGAUUAGCUUGUUGGUGAGGUAAAGGCUCACCAAGGCGACGAUCUUUAGCUGGUCUGAGAGGAUGAUCAGCCACACUGGGACUGAGACACGGCCCAGACUCCUACGGGAGGCAGCAGCGGGGAAUAUUGGACAAUGGGCGAAAGCCUGAUCCAGCAAUGCCGCGUGAGUGAUGAAGGCCUUAGGGUUGUAAAGCUCUUUUACCAGGGAUGAUAAUGACAGUACCUGGAGAAUAAGCUCCGGCUAACUCCGUG